Long non-coding RNA from Homo sapiens (human), 565 nucleotides. The record is from Ensembl. NCBI's taxonomy places the organism in Eukaryota, Metazoa, Chordata, Mammalia, Primates, Hominidae.
UAAUUCUAAUUUCACUGUUAUAAAUGGUAUGUGGGCUGAAGAUAGGGCUUCUGUAUUUUCUGACUCCCUUCUCUGUGAUUUGUUUUGUGACUUGUCCUUUGGAGGGUGAAGAAGUGAGACCCUACAUGGCUUUUUAGUGCAUUGAUGGAGCAGAGACACGUCUAUGAACAACUGCCUAUGCAAACUGAUUACUCGGCAGUAUAAUUUAUCAGUUUGUAUGAGUAAGUGAGUGCUUCUCACUAUGGAUUUAGCUUGCACUUCAAUUUAGUUGUCCCCUUGGAACCUGUAAACACUUUGGCAUAAAGAUCUGACAGAUUCAGCUUCUCCAUAAAUGAAUUUCUUUUCGGCUUAUCUCUGGUUCCAUUAUCUUGCUUUGGAUUUAUGGAAAUUCUGAACAGUGAUGUGAGAGUGACUACAGUUUGAAGUAUCUGUUAAAUACAGCAACAUGACAUCACAAGGAUUGUUUUGGAGUCUUCUGGAUAUGAGAACAUUAUAAAAGGUGUGGGGGUUUCCAGGAGACUUGAGAAUGACUCCAGGACUCAUAGUUCUCCUGGAACAUGGUUUU